AGUGAACGCUGGCGGUAGGCCUAACACAUGCAAGUCGAACGGCAGCACAGUAAGAGCUUGCUCUUACGGGUGGCGAGUGGCGGACGGGUGAGGAAUACAUCGGAAUCUACUUUUUCGUGGGGGAUAACGUAGGGAAACUUACGCUAAUACCGCAUACGACCUACGGGUGAAAGCAGGGGAUCUUCGGACCUUGCGCGAUUGAAUGAGCCGAUGUCGGAUUAGCUAGUUGGCGGGGUAAAGGCCCACCAAGGCGACGAUCCGUAGCUGGUCUGAGAGGAUGAUCAGCCACACGGGAACUGAGACACGGUCCAGACUCCUACGGGAGGCAGCAGUGGGGAAUAUUGGGCAAUGGGCGCAAGCCUGAUCCAGCCAUACCGCGUGGGUGAAGAAGGCCUUCGGGUUGUAAAGCCCUUUUGUUGGGAAAGAAAAGCAGCAGGUUAAUACCCCGCUGUUCUGACGGUACCCAAAGAAUAAGCACCGGCUAACUUCGUG
This 492-nucleotide ribosomal RNA is filed under the name uncultured bacterium. Its description in RNAcentral is "partial 16S ribosomal RNA". It matches the Rfam family "Bacterial small subunit ribosomal RNA", at positions 29 to 507 of the family's 1533-position model. The record is from RNAcentral.